GAUGAAGAACGCAGCGAAAUGCGAUACGUAAUGUGAAUUGCAGAAUUCAGUGAAUCAUCGAGUAUUUGAACGCACAUUGCGCCCCCUGGUAUUCCGGGGGGCAUGCCUGUCCGAGCGUCAUUGCUGCCCUCAAGCGCGGCUUGUGUGUUGGGCCUCCGUCCUCCUCCCGGGGGACGGGCCCGAAAGGCAGCGGCGGCACCGCGUCCGGUCCUCGAGCGUAUGGGGCUUCGUCACCCGCUCUUGUAGGCCCGGCCGGCGCUUGCCGACACAUCAAUCUUUUUUCCAGGUUGACCUCGGAUCAGGUAGGGAUACCCGCUGAACUUAAGCAUAUCAAUAAGCGGAGGA
This 345-nucleotide unclassified non-coding RNA is filed under the name soil metagenome. RNAcentral describes it as "partial contains 5.8S ribosomal RNA, internal transcribed spacer 2, and large subunit ribosomal RNA". The stretch from base 1 to 120 matches the Rfam family "5.8S ribosomal RNA", at positions 35 to 154 of the family's 154-position model. The record is from RNAcentral.